Molecule: ribosomal RNA, 1530 nt
Filed under: Oigolaimella sp. RGD844
Lineage: Eukaryota; Metazoa; Nematoda; Chromadorea; Rhabditida; Diplogasteridae
Description: eukaryotic LSU rRNA
Rfam family: Eukaryotic large subunit ribosomal RNA
Source: RNAcentral
AACGCGGAAGAGCUCAGCGCAGAAGUGCCAGAAUCAUCGUAUGAUGGCGCGGUGUUGCGUUUAGGCGCAUCUUUUUGCUGCGGCGAUUGCCUGAAGUUGGCUGGAAAGCAACUUUCCAUAGAGGGUGUUAGACCCGUUCGGGCUUUCGCUGUGGUGAUUGGGUGUGUCUUCGAGUCGAGUUGCUUGGAAGUGCAGCUCAAAGUGGGUGGUAUACCGCAUCUAAAGCUAAAUAUGAGUACGAGACCGAUAGCAAACAAGUACCGUGAGGGAAAGUUGCAAAGAACUUUGAAGAGAGAGUUCAAGAGUACGUGAAACCAUCGUGGAGUAAUCGGAUGGAGUCGAUUAUAUUGUAGGCAUUCAUACUUCGCGUUGCUGCCUGGCGUGGGGCUUCGGGACUGCUGUCUGUGUUCCGGUUCUGCGCAUGUGGUGGUGAGUGCGGUGUGCAUUUGCUUGCGAUAACGCGGAGACAAUCGCUAUCCUCUUCUGAACCGUGCAGUGUGGCCCUUGCUUCGGCUCGGUAACCUGUUGUGCGGGGAGGUUGGUAUGGGUGGUGAUUUGUAAGCAGGCUGGCCUUUGCGCUGGGUGCGUGGUGCUGUGGGCGGUGAUUUCGUGAGUGUUACAUUCGCGGUUGAAUCGUUUACGGUUGCUGUGUUCCUGGAGCGGCUGAUCUCUCCGUGGGAACGUCGAUUACCCAUCUGACCCGUCUUGAAACACGGACCAAGAAGUUUAGCAAGUGCGCGAGUCAAUGGGUUGAAAACCUACUGGCGCAAUGAAAGUGAAGGCUCGCUUGUCGGGCUGACAUGAGAUCCGUGCGAAAGCGCGGCGCAUCAUGGCCCCAUGCCGAUUGCUUGCAAUGGUGUGGCGGUAGAGCGUACUUGCUGAGACCCGAAAGAUGGUGAACUAUGCUUGAGCAGGAUGAAGCCAGAGGAAACUCUGGUGGAAGUCCGAAGCGUUUCUGACGUGCAAAUCGAUCGUCUGACUUGAGCAUAGGGGCGAAAGACUAAUCGAACCAUCUAGUAGCUGGUUCCCUCCGAAGUUUCCCCCAGGAUAGCUGGGCGAAGAAAGCAGUUAUAUUCGGUAAAGCGAAUGAUUAGAGGAAUUGGGGGCGAAAUGCUCUCAACCUAUUCUCAAACUUUCAAUGGGUAUGACGUUGCGGUUUCUUAAUUGAACCGUGACAGCGAAUGAUUCGCCCAAGUGGGCCAUUUUUGGUAAGCAGAACUGGCGAUGCGGGAUGCUCCGAACGUUGGGUUAAGGUGCCUAACUUUCUGCUCAUGAGAACCCAUAAAAGGUGUUGGUUGAUAUAGACAGCAGGACGGUGGCCAUGGAAGUCGGAAACCGCUAAGGAGUGUGUAACAACUCACCUGCCGAAUCAACUAGCCCUGAAAAUGGAUGGCGCUAGAGCGGGAGACCUAUACCCGACCGUUGUUGGCUUGUAUGCUCGAAAGAGUCGUCUGGCCUCAACGUGUAGGAGGGUUGCAGCGGUGUGCUUAGAAGGCUUUGGGCGUAGGCCCGGCUGGAGCCGCCGUUGGU